UCCAGCAGCCGCGGUAAUACGUUCCCGGGCCUUGUACACACCGCCCGUCACAUCACGAAAGUCGGUUGCACUAGAAGUCGGUGGGCUAACCCGCAAGGGAGGCAGCCGCCUAAAGUGUGAUCGGUAAUUGGGGUGAAGUCGUAACAGGGUAGCUGUAGGAGAACCUGCGGCUGGAUCACCUCCUUUCUAAAGAGCAUCUCCGCCUCGGAUCAAAACGAGGUCGUGACGA
RNAcentral lists this unclassified non-coding RNA (229 nucleotides) under uncultured bacterium. RNAcentral's name for it is "partial contains 16S ribosomal RNA, 16S-23S ribosomal RNA intergenic spacer, and 23S ribosomal RNA". The stretch from base 1 to 186 matches the Rfam family "Bacterial small subunit ribosomal RNA", at positions 1348 to 1533 of the family's 1533-position model. The record is from RNAcentral.